This 253-nucleotide ribosomal RNA is filed under the name uncultured bacterium. Its description in RNAcentral is "partial 16S ribosomal RNA". It matches the Rfam family "Bacterial small subunit ribosomal RNA", at positions 524 to 776 of the family's 1533-position model. The record is from RNAcentral.
UACGGAGGGUGCGAGCGUUGUCCGGAAUCACUGGGCGUAAAGGGCGCGUAGGUGGAGCGGCAAGUCAAAGGUGAAAGCUCGACGCUCAACGUCGAGUCGGCCGUCGAUACUGCUGGGCUUGAGCACUGUAGAGGCAGAUGGAAUUCCGGGUGUAGCGGUGGAAUGCGUAGAGAUCCGGAAGAACACCGGUGGCGAAGGCGGUCUGCUGGGCAGUAGCUGACACUGAGGCGCGACAGCGUGGGGAGCAAACAGG